GGUGGCUCAGCGGUAGAGCGCUUGCCUUACACGCUUGAGGCCCUGAGUUCAAUUCCUCAGCACCA
Non-coding RNA from Dipodomys ordii (Ord's kangaroo rat), 65 nucleotides. Lineage: Eukaryota; Metazoa; Chordata; Mammalia; Rodentia; Heteromyidae. The record is from Rfam.